GAGGAGACACUGCCGCAGUUGCCGCUACAUCGGGGGUUUCUGGCUCUUUCCUCUUCGCCUUAAAUUCGGGUGUCUUUUAUGAAUAAUCAAAAGCAGCAAAAGCCAACGCUAUCAGGCCAGCGUUUUAAAACUAGAAAAAGAGGUAAAUAUUUAUGUUUUAAUGUCUGUCUUCAAACCUCCAGAAUAUCUUGUGUAUCUUGCCUUCUCUGACAGGCACUUGCAUAGUACUAAAGCCUCAAGAGAAGAUACCAGAAAGAAACUUGAA
RNAcentral lists this small RNA (265 nucleotides) under Pongo abelii (Sumatran orangutan). Its description in RNAcentral is "retained intron". The record is from RNAcentral. Lineage: Eukaryota; Metazoa; Chordata; Mammalia; Primates; Hominidae.